UGCCCUUGUGACAUCAUGGCUAUCUCCCUCUACUUCUCCACCCCUCCUGCCCCUGCCAGGGUAAGGGGAGCAGCAACGAGAGGGGAUGUGAACACCUGAACCACUGCCCCAAACAUGGGCUGUCUAUGCUGUAAGCGUGACCCAGACGUAGACCCACUGGAGAUACAGAAACUGAAGAGACACUCUGUCUGGUGGUGUUUCUCGUCUGCCAUCUUGCUCCGCCUCCCAGACUGAUGGCUUUUACAGGUACAAUAAGUAGUCACUUCA
Molecule: non-coding RNA, 267 nt
Organism: Microcebus murinus (gray mouse lemur)
Lineage: Eukaryota; Metazoa; Chordata; Mammalia; Primates; Cheirogaleidae
Source: RefSeq, a predicted model, not a curated record